This 541-nucleotide ribosomal RNA is filed under the name uncultured bacterium. Its description in RNAcentral is "bacterial SSU rRNA". It matches the Rfam family "Bacterial small subunit ribosomal RNA", at positions 778 to 1319 of the family's 1533-position model. The record is from RNAcentral.
AUAGAUACCCCGGUAGUCCAUGCCGUAAACGUUGGGAACUAGAUGUAGGGUCCAUUCCACGGAUUCUGUGUCGCAGCUAACGCAUUAAGUUCCCCGCCUGGGGAGUACGGCCGCAGGGCUAAAACUCAAAGGAAUUGACGGGGGCCCGCACAAGCGGCGGAGCAUGCGGAUUAAUUCGAUGCAACGCGAAGAACCUUACCAAGGCUUGACAUAUACCGGAAACGGCUGGAAACAGUCGCCCCGCAAGGUCGGUAUACAGGUGGUGCAUGGUUGUCGUCAGCUCGUGUCGUGAGAUGUUGGGUUAAGUCCCGCAACGAGCGCAACCCUCGUUCUUUGUUGCCAGCACGUCAUGGUGGGAACUCAAAGGAGACUGCCGGGGUCAACUCGGAGGAAGGUGGGGAUGGACGCCAAAUCAUCAUGCCCCUUAUGUCUUGGGCUUCACGCAUGCUACAAUGGCCGGUACAAAGGGCUGCAAUACCGUAAGGUGGAGCGAAUCCCAAAAGCCGGUCUCAGUUCGGAUUGAGGUCUGCAACUCGACCUC